Long non-coding RNA from Pseudophryne corroboree (corroboree frog), 890 nucleotides. RefSeq lists it as uncharacterized. The record is from RefSeq and is a predicted model, not a curated record. The transcript has 2 exons. NCBI's taxonomy places the organism in Eukaryota, Metazoa, Chordata, Amphibia, Anura, Myobatrachidae.
AUAGAUUUUCUUAUGUAACCAACACAAGACAACUGUAUAUACCAAUUAAGAUGUAAUGCAUACUCAGUGAUAAAGGCAGUUGGUUAUUAAACGAAACAUUCAUUUAACUGUGUGUGUGUGUGUGUGUGUGUGUGGGGUUUAAAAAGCGCAUAUGCUUUAUACAAUAAGUUCUCUCUACUUGCAGAGAUGCCAUGAGAUUGGGUAAUAGCAAACCUUGGCCAGAUGUCAUGGAAGCAAUCACUGGGCAGCGGAAAAUGUCAGCUCAUGCCCUUCUUGAAUAUUUUAAGCCUCUUAUCGACUGGCUGGAUGAGCAAAAUAGUAAAAACGGAGAAACUAUUGGCUGGCCAGAGUACAAUUGGACUCCAGUUCCAUCGGUUUCCGUUGAGCCACUUCCACCACCAAGCACUGUAGACUUCCUGGGAAUGUCAUUGAACAAAGGGCAAGCAUCAGCAGGAGCAUGGGUCCUCUUGGCAAUUGGAAUAGUCCUGGUCAUAACUACCAUCUUCUUGGGUGUCAAGUACUCAAAAACAAGACGUAGAGCAAAUAAGUCCUCCUCUGAACUGGAGCUAAAAUAAGAUGGAUCGCAUCCAACUAGCAGAGUGCCAUCUGCGGGAAAAAGUCCUUCGCCAGCAUUCCAAAAAAUGGGGACACUCCGUGUAUGAGUUGCAUCAGGGGAAAUCUUGUUGACUAUGCAAAGAACUUCAUCCUUGGAGGAGCAAUCCACCAGCGCCUUCAAAACCAAAUUUUAAAGGCUGUACUUUUACAGAGGUGCUGAUGGGAAGGGAGGUUUGGGGUAACUGGGUAAAAAUAAAUUUGAUAAUCGAUUUGUGAUCAUGUCAGGGUUUUUUUCUUCAAUGGGAGCAAUAAAAUUAUUGUAUGUGGAAACUUUA